UGAGCAUGCGCGAACAAUAAUGAUCCUUGUAACGAUACGAUCGUUACAACUUUCUUUCUUUUUGAAAUUUAAAUUUAUUCAUUACAUAUUUGUUGUACCGCCACUGCAUUUAUACGUGUCUCGAAGAAUUCAGAUUUGCAGAGUGGCACAUGAUUUUAUUCUAUCUUUUCUGCUUUUUCUGGUGAAUGGGAUAAGUCAUCAGAGUUGAGUUCUUGAUAUAGAUAUUUUUGGUAUUAAUUUUGAGAUUUAGUUAAUAUUUCAUAGUUUCUAUUGGUUUGGUGAAACUCAAUCAAAAAUUGAGUUUUUGGGUGAAGCCCAGAAUUUCGAUUUGAACAUAUAUUUCCAAGAUUGAACUUCGUUGACCAACAUCCAACUUCGAAGAAUCCAUCACAUCUGAAAACUUUGGUCAUAAGAACCUGGAAAUCCUUAUAUGGUGCUGUGACAGUAUCGUACCAAAUCAGAUGGUUCUUUCUGCAUAGGAGCACUUCACCUGGAUUUUAAUUGCUAAUGGAAGUAUUCUGCUAUGUAUUUUGUAAUUUCAUUCGAUAUCCAAUUUAUAUAAUUUCGUAUGCUCCAUUUCAUUUUGCAUUUGAGACAUUUCGCUUCGAAGCUAUUCAUAAUAAUUUUCAUUGUUGAAAUUCAAUUGUAAGCAGCUGUUAUUCAAUAUUUCACUCUUAACUUUUUAUUACAAUUUGAGCAAUUUAGUGGAUUAUUUCAUCUUAUUAAUAAAUCUCUGAAAGUGGA
This is a long non-coding RNA of Harmonia axyridis, 744 nucleotides long. RefSeq lists it as uncharacterized. NCBI's taxonomy places the organism in Eukaryota, Metazoa, Arthropoda, Insecta, Coleoptera, Coccinellidae. The record is from RefSeq and is a predicted model, not a curated record. The transcript is spliced from 2 exons.